CAGUCGCCGCGGUAAUACGAAGGGUGCAAGCGUUAAUCGGAAUUACUGGGCGUAAAGCGUGCGUAGGCGGUGAGUUAAGUCUGCUGUGAAAUCCCCGGGCUCAACCUGGGAAUUGCAGUGGAUACUGGGUCACUAGAGUGUGGUAGAGGAUAGUGGAAUUUCCGGUGUAGCAGUGAAAUGCGUAGAGAUCGGAAGGAACAUCUGUGGCGAAGGCGACUAUCUGGGCCAACACUGACACUGAGGCACGAAAGCGUGGGGAGCAAACAGGAUUAGAUACCCCUGUAGUCCCUGUCUCUUAUAC
Molecule: ribosomal RNA, 301 nt
Filed under: uncultured bacterium
Lineage: Bacteria
Description: partial 16S ribosomal RNA
Rfam family: Bacterial small subunit ribosomal RNA
Source: RNAcentral